AGUGAACGCUGGCGGUAGGCCUAACACAUGCAAGUCGAACGGCAGCACAGUAAGAGCUUGCUCUUACGGGUGGCGAGUGGCGGACGGGUGAGGAAUACAUCGGAAUCUACUUUUUCGUGGGGGAUAACGUAGGGGAACUUACGCUAAUACCGCAUACGACCUACGGGUGAAAGCAGGGGAUCUUCGGACCUUGCGCGAUUGAAUGAGCCGAUGUUGGAUUAGCUAGUUGGCGGGGUAAAGGCCCACCAAGGCGACGAUCCGUAGCUGGUCUGAGAGGAUGAUCAGCCACACUGGAACUGAGACACGGUCCAGACUCCUACGGGAGGCAGCAGUGGGGAAUAUUGGACAAUGGGCGCAAGCCUGAUCCAGCCAUACCGCGUGGGUGAAGAAGGCCUUCGGGUUGUAAAGCCCUUUUGUUGGGAAAGAAAAGCAGCAGGUUAAUACCCCGCUGUUCUGACGGUACCCAAAGAAUAAGCACCGGCUAACUUCGUG
RNAcentral lists this ribosomal RNA (492 nucleotides) under uncultured bacterium. RNAcentral's name for it is "partial 16S ribosomal RNA". It matches the Rfam family "Bacterial small subunit ribosomal RNA", at positions 29 to 507 of the family's 1533-position model. The record is from RNAcentral.